Molecule: ribosomal RNA, 497 nt
Filed under: uncultured bacterium
Lineage: Bacteria
Description: partial 16S ribosomal RNA
Rfam family: Bacterial small subunit ribosomal RNA
Source: RNAcentral
GAUGAACGCUGGCGGCGUGCCUAAUACAUGCAAGUCGAGCGAACGGACGAGAAGCUUGCUUCUUUGAUGUUAGCGGCGGACGGGUGAGUAACACGUGGAUAACCUACCUAUAAGACUGGGAUAACUUCGGGAAACCGGAACUAAUACCGGAUGAUAUUUUGAACCGCAUGGUUCAAAAGUGAAAGACGGUCUUGCUGUCACUUAUAGAUGGAUCCGCGCUGCAUUAGCUAGUUGGUAAGGUAACGGCUUACCAAGGCAACGAUGCAUAGCCGACCUGAGAGGGUGAUCGGCCGCACGAGAGCUGAGACGCGGUCCAGGGUCCUACGGGAGGCAGCAGUAGGGAAUCUUCCGCAAUAGGCGAAAGCCUGACAGAGCGACGCCGCGUGAGUGAUGGAGGUCUUCGGAUCGUGAAACUCUCUUAUUGGGGAAGAACAGCUGUGUAAGUAACUGUGCACAGCUUGACGGUACCUAAUCAGGAAGCCACGGCUAACUACGUG